CGAACUUUUAUAUCUGGGCGUCACUGGUAAUUCUUGUUUGGACGAGGCGCGUUUUUGACGUAAUGAAUUUUAAACCUGAUGCCUUUUGUUAUCUGUUGUUCGUGUGUUUCUAAUUACGUUCUCCUAUUUGUUUGUAUUGUGGUCCUGUAUUAUUAUGUUGUCAUUUUGAUGUUAUAUUUAACAAUGCCAUCAAAGUGCGAGGUUUGGCAUGCCACAAAACCAGGUUCAACCCACCAUUUUUUUCUUUAAAAAUGUCCUGUACCAAGUCAGGAAAAUGGCCAUUGUUAUAU
Molecule: long non-coding RNA, 290 nt
Filed under: Mytilus galloprovincialis (Mediterranean mussel)
Lineage: Eukaryota; Metazoa; Mollusca; Bivalvia; Mytilida; Mytilidae
Source: RNAcentral